GAUGAACGCUGGCGGCGUGCCUAAUACAUGCAAGUCGAGCGAACGGACGAGAAUCUUGCUUUUCUGAUGUUAGCGGCGGACGGGUGAGUAACACGUGGAUAACCUACCUAUAAGACUGGGAUAACUUCGGGAAACCGGAGCUAAUACCGGAUAAUAUUUUGAACCGCAUGGUUCAAAAGUGAAAGACGGUCUUGCUGUCACUUAUAGAUGGAUCCGCUCUGCAUUAGCUAGUUGGUAAGGUAACGGCUUACCAAGGCAACGAUGCAUAGCCGACGUGAGAGGGUGAUCGGCCACACUGGGACUGAGACACGGUCCAGACUCCUACGGGAGGCAGCAGUAGGGAAUCUUCCGCAAUGGGCGAAAGCCUGACGGAGCAACGCCGCGUGAGUGAUGAAGGUCUUCGGAUCGUAAAACUCUGUUAUUAGGGAAGAACAUAUGUGUAAGUAACUGUGCACAUCUUGACGGUACCUAAUCAGAAAGCCACGGCUAACUACGUG
This 497-nucleotide ribosomal RNA is filed under the name uncultured bacterium. Its description in RNAcentral is "partial 16S ribosomal RNA". It matches the Rfam family "Bacterial small subunit ribosomal RNA", at positions 28 to 507 of the family's 1533-position model. The record is from RNAcentral.